Molecule: ribosomal RNA, 1006 nt
Filed under: uncultured euryarchaeote
Lineage: Archaea; Methanobacteriati; Methanobacteriota
Description: bacterial SSU rRNA
Rfam family: Archaeal small subunit ribosomal RNA
Source: RNAcentral
CUAUCGGUGUUCGCCUAAGCCAUGCGAGUCAUAUGUAGCAAUACAUGGCGUACUGCUCAGUAACACGUGGAUAACCUGCCCUUGGGACCGGCAUAACCCCGGGAAACUGGGGAUAAUUCCGGAUAACGCAUAUUUGCUGGAAUGCUUUAUGCGUCAAAAGGAUUCGUCUGCCCAAGGAUGGGUCUGCGGCCUAUCAGGUAGUAGUGGGUGUAAUGUACCUACUAGCCAGCGACGGGUACGGGUUGUGAGAGCAAGAGCCCGGAGAUGGAUUCUGAGACAUGAAUCCAGGCCCUACGGGGCGCAGCAGGCGCGAAAACUUUACAAUGCGGGAAACCGUGAUAAGGGGACACCGAGUGCCAGCAUCAUAUGCUGGCUGUCCGGAUGUGUAAAAUACAUCCGUUAGCAAGGGCCGGGCAAGACCGGUGCCAGCCGCCGCGGUAACACCGGCGGCCCGAGUGGUGAUCGUGAUUAUUGGGUCUAAAGGGUCCGUAGCCGGUUUGGUCAGUCCUCCGGGAAAUCUGAUAGCUCAACUAUUAGGCUUUCGGGGGAUACUGCCAGACUUGGAACCGGGAGAGGUAAGAGGUACUACAGGGGUAGGAGUGAAAUCUUGUAAUCCCUGUGGGACCACCUGUGGCGAAGGCGUCUUACCAGAACGGGUUCGACGGUGAGGGACGAAAGCUGGGGGCACGAACCGGAUUAGAUACCCGGGUAGUCCCAGCCGUAAACGAUGCUCGCUAGGUGUCAGGCAUGGCGCGACCGUGUCUGGUGCCGCAGGGAAGCCGUGAAGCGAGCCACCUGGGAAGUACGGCCGCAAGGCUGAAACUUAAAGGAAUUGGCGGGGGAGCACAACAACGGGUGGAGCCUGCGGUUUAAUUGGACUCAACGCCGGACAACUCACCGGGGGCGACAGCAAUAUGUAGGCCAAGCUGAAGACUUUGCCUGAAUCGCUGAGAGGAGGUGCAUGGCCGUCGCCAGUUCGUACUGUGAAGCAUCCUGUUAAGUCAGG